UCGUGCUCUUUUCAUCAAGGAAUACAAUAACAAGCUCUUCAAUUGGUUGGUGACUUUUGCUCUGGUCAUGGUCGUGCUUGGGCGCUUUGUGAUCAAGUUCUUUCUACUUGAAAUUGCUGCAUGGGUAAUGUUUAUCUUCCUGGAGACAUAUACAAGAAUGUUCUGGUCAGCAGAAUCGCUGUACUAUAAUCCAGCUUGGCACAUAAUCGUUUCAUCCUGGGAAACCAUCGUGUACAGUCCACUUCUCGAUCUGGACAGGUAGGUCUUUCAUCCCCAUGUAAUGUACUCCCUCCGUCCCAAAAUAUAAGAACGUUUUUAACACUAGCAUAGUGUCAAAAACGUUCUUAUUCUGGGACAGAGGGAGUAAUAAAUAUACAAUAGCAACCAUAUAUUAUCUCGCAUGCUGCCUUCUUUUCUAAUAAUAUGCCACCCUUUGUGUCUGCAGAUGGGCCAUCCCCAUAGCCUUGUUGCUAUUGUUUUGGCUUUUUUACUGGCGUUGCUUUGCUAGAAGGAAACGUGGCAGCCGCUCGGUGCUGCCACUGUACAAGAACUCUCACAAGAACUCCAGUCGCCCUAGAUCAGACUGAUCACAUACAUGGUUUUGUUCUGAAGUGGAGGUACAAAAUAUCACCCCCAAAAGAGAUAGAACAAGAGGAUAGUUUUGCGUCUUUCAUCCAUGCGGUUGGAUGGGCUUUCUUUUGAUGACGGUCGCCGCAACCCCUGUGCUGCGUCUCAGAUUCGUUUUGGCUGAUGAAGAGAUGGGAGUUCUGGCGUCUGGUGCUUGCGCUUAGCGUUUGUUGUAACAUUGAAUAUGUUUAUGUGCUUUAUGUAGCUAGGAUUUUCUUACGAGGUACGGCCUCAUUCAUUGUUUAUUGUUCGCUUUGCGAACAAACCUCAUAUAUGAAUUGGUUUUGUUAAGCCAUAGUGGGCAUAAUUUCUGAACAGACUGAUGGACCUUACAUUUUUGCCGUGAUGGGCAAUGGAAUCCCUUGGUUUGGGCAUUUCUCCAAAGGGGACUUGUGUAGUGUCAUUUACAG
Molecule: long non-coding RNA, 1037 nt
Filed under: Triticum aestivum (bread wheat)
Lineage: Eukaryota; Viridiplantae; Streptophyta; Magnoliopsida; Poales; Poaceae
Description: long non-coding RNA (TAES_LNC006293)
Source: RNAcentral